Molecule: non-coding RNA, 85 nt
Filed under: human gut metagenome
Also listed under: 1 other name
Source: RNAcentral
CCAAAAGGGGAGCCGCAAGGCUGAGAGGAGGCGCAGGCCUCGACCCGUUGACCUGAUUUGGAUAAUGCCAACGUAGGGAAAUAUU